Molecule: long non-coding RNA, 3714 nt
Filed under: Daucus carota (carrot)
Lineage: Eukaryota; Viridiplantae; Streptophyta; Magnoliopsida; Apiales; Apiaceae
Description: long non-coding RNA (DCAR_LNC004647)
Source: RNAcentral
UAACCAUAUCUAUAGUUGAAAUCCAUUUUUUUUGUGAGAAUCAGUAAGGAGCGUGCAAAAUGCACUUUACAUUAUUGCUAUCAAGUUAACAUUACACCUUUUAGCACAGAGGCUUUAGAUGAAACAUUUGAAAUGAGCGUACUCCAACUACCUGAAAUCAAAUUAAGUUGUCUGUUGAAACAUACACAUAUAGACUAACACGUGGUGGUUCUAAUCAGUAUACAACUCCUUUAAAACGAAAAGAGGAAACCAGAUUUGUAUUAGCAUCUCUAACUACAUACAGGAACAGAGUUCAGAAUGUUCUGUAAUAGUAUUCGUAGUUGAAAUUCUUUUUUUUUUUUUUUUUUUUUUNNNNNNNNNNNNNNNNNNNNNNNNNNNNNNNNNNNNNNNNNNNNNNNNNNNNNNNNNNNNNNNNNNNNNNNNNNNNUCUUAAUACAGGAUCAUUCAAAUCUGGUUUUUUUUUUUUUUUUUUAAAUUUUUUUUUUUUUUUUUUUUUUUUUGUGCGCGAGUCAGUAACUAAUGUGCAGAAUGCACUUUUACAUUAUUUCUUGUAGUCAACAUCAUACCUUUUAGCAUUAUUUCUAUAGAAAAAACAAUAGAAAUGAGUUUACUCCAACAGGAAAUCAGUCAAGUUGCUUUACAUAUUCUCUGUCGCAACAAUAUUGCAAGAAGUCCUACAACAUAAACAAGAUGAUAGGAAAUAGAGAUUUUAAUCCUUCAAGUCAUCCAUGUUUGUUUCAAGGGACUGCAAUCCUUGCACUAUAAACUUAUUUCUCCUUUUAUUAUACUUUAACCUUAAGGUGUCCCGUGAAUUACAUCUCUGUCAAUCAUUUACUUCAUUUUGAAUGUGAUUAUAAUACCUAGGGCGAGGGUGGUAUUAAAUAAUACCCUUAGAAUACAAAGUGGUCAAAACUUAUUCAUGAUUAUCUUGCAAGGAAAAUAUAAAUUCAGGUACAUGAAGAUGAAACUGACCAUGUCAAAUUGAAACUGAAUGUUUCUUCAACACGGAAUUUGUUAGAAUCCUUAUUCCUGAUUCCAGGUAGCAAUAGACCACCAUCACCACUGGCACUGCAGGGAGUCCUAUAUCAUCCAAAUUGAAUAUAAAAGAUAUUAUAUACUCUUGAUAUGCAAUCCCAAAAGAAAAAAACACUUCUGAAAAAGCAUUGGGUCUCCAUAAAAGUAUCAGAAAGAUAUAUUUAUCCUUUCUUGAUGAAGCAAAUCAAGCAGCAUAUUUUUUCUUUAAAAUCGAGUGGUGUAAACUAUACCUGUUACAAUAGAGAAAUUCUAUAGAGAAAUUCCCAAAAUUAAACAUAUUGAGAGCCCUCACAGCCCAAGCACAACAACGACAGUAUAAAAAUCUUAAACAUAUGAUCUGAAACCACCCAGUGGGCCUAUAGUAAUGCAUAACCAAGAAAAGAAGAAGCUCCAAUCAAAUUGGCAUCAUGACAGAUAAAAGCAACAUGCAAUUAAUAAUCAAACAGGCAACUCCAACAUCUGUAGUGGAAAAGAGUACUACUAUUCUCUGAGGUUUAGGUUGUUAAAGUUCGAGGACUAGCAUGAUUACAGAACAUUUUGUUCUGUCAAUCAGUUCACAAAAGCAAAGAAUAAUAUCCUUGGUCGUCUAACACUGAAUUCAAUAUUAAAUAGCUCAGAAAAUAAAGCUCGAGCAAUGGAGGACCUUUACUACGGAAUGAUAUGCUUCUAAAGUCAGCUAUUUGUAAGGUGAAAAGUUCAGAAUUGAAGUUUUUUCAGUAAUCCAAAGGUCCCUCCAUUGUUUAGAGGCAAGAAUUCCAGAAUGGGGCAAUAGAAUUAUUUGCUUUAUGAUAGUAGUUGAGAACUAAAUCUCGCAUAUAAUAUAGAAGUCGUAUACGUCACAGUUAUUUAUUGGUAAGCAAAUGUAUUUAAAGUAUUUAGGACAUACUUUCCUGUUAUUCCAAUAUGUUCAAAGGAAUAUAUAAAUUAUCUAUUAGUGUAGUCAAAUUUGCUCUUCACGUUCUGGUGAUACUAAACCUAUACCUACGUAACUAAAUAACAGAUUGUCAACAUUAAGGUCAUGCAAGAACUAUAAUGUUUGUUUCACCAUAGUCUUAGCUAGGAAGUCUAUACAUGCAAGUACUAGAGAGAUUUUAGCUUGAGCUUUUGAAAUAAAUUAGGCAUCUUUAUAAAGAAUGUUAGUUACUUCAUAAAAUGAUCUUGGUUGAGACAUUGUAAGCUUCAAACUACUAUCUGUUAAACACUUGAUGAACAUAUAAUGUACUUGCAGAAUUGCUGUCAAGAACAUUAUUUUUCUUUCUCUAAUGGUACUAAUAGUCUAAUAUAGAUAUGUACAGAUAUCAUCAUAUGAAGUGAAUCAUGAUGUGGAAGCCCAAAUUUAAGCUGAAAUCUGUACAUAAAACCGGUGAAGGCCUGAAGGGUAUAUACUUAAUUCACUUUGUGUUAGAUUUACUUCGGAGGGUGGGCUUACAUAUAUACGCUAAACUCUAAUGGAAAGUGCAACAUGGAAUGGAAUGAGGGAGAAAUAGCCCUUAAACCCUUUCAUCAUAAAUAACCGAUCCCACCCCAGAAGGAUCCUCCCAACCGAAAUCAUUCAUAUUUUUGCUGAUAUUAUUAUAAUUUAUUUCUAUAAUUUGGUGAAUCAAAGAGCAGCAACAAAAACAGAAAUAGAGCAUGUUAGAAUACAAAACACAAGCGGCACAACCAUCUAAACAACAAAUAUGAUUUAAUUUUCCACUCAAGCAAUCAAAUGAAGCCCAAAAAUCUGCAGCUAUUGUAUUCCUAAUUCUAUCCGUUAAGAGUGCAACCAGGCCCGCCCAGAGGGAGGGCAACCAGGGCGACCGCCCGGGGCCCAAAAAGUUAAGGGGCCCAAAAUUUGUAUAAUUUAUGUAUUGUUAUUAGUAUAUAUAAGCCUAUUCUAUCUUAAGUGACUACGUCCAUAACUAAACUAAUGGCUAUCAUUCAUGCACUAAGAGAUAAAUGUCAUCAAACAUUUGUUUAAUCUUCUUUUUUUACAUCCGGUACACUUUAUUGUUUUAUAGUUAUUUUCUUACGGAAGUUGACUAAAAUUUGAGUUUGCAUUGCUACAAGGUCAUAUUUUAUCAAAUUUAGUAAAGUAAAAAAAAUUAGGGCCUAUUUUCUUCUUUCGCCCCAGGGCCCUCAAAAGGUAUGGAACGGCCCUGAGUGCAACCUGUAUAUAUAUGAAUUAUAUUAUCUUAUCGAGAUUUGGAAUAGAAUGAAUAUCUUAAGUAUUUAUCAAGCAUCACAUUUGAUAAGCAUAUACAACAUGUAAUUGAUGAAACCAAUUCAACAAAUACAUACACACAUGUAUAUAUAGACAUAACAAAAACGAAUUGCAAAAUAAUCACAUAUCAGAAAACACAAAAUGAGCAAAUCAUCGAGAUAUCAGAUAUGUUUGACAAUUGGGGGAUUGAAUAAAUAAUGAAAAACAGGACAAUUAAAAGACAAAUACGGUGAAAACAAAUUGAAAUAAAAAGUGAAUUAGAUCGAAAAUACGUACCUGAUAAACUGGGUGAGGUUGUUGAGAGUGAGAUUGUAAAUGAUGAUCCAGAAUUUUAACAAAACAAUGAAUCGGAAAUUAUAGUCGGAGAUGGAGAAGAUCCGUCGGGAAGAUACCAUUGGAAAAAUAGCCGUUGGAGGCGCAGUGUGAAAGCUCGCUGGCAGCAAAGCAGUAAAAGACCAGAGACCAGAGUACCGUUA